GUGCUCGUUUUGGCAGAACAUAUACUAAAAUUGGAAGAAUACAGAGAAAAUCAGCAGGGCCCCUGUGCAAGGAUGGCACGCAAAUUUAUGAAGCAUUCCAUAUUUUA
Molecule: small nuclear RNA, 107 nt
Filed under: Sorex araneus (European shrew)
Lineage: Eukaryota; Metazoa; Chordata; Mammalia; Eulipotyphla; Soricidae
Source: RNAcentral